This 448-nucleotide ribosomal RNA is filed under the name uncultured Glomus. Its description in RNAcentral is "SSU rRNA". It matches the Rfam family "Eukaryotic small subunit ribosomal RNA", at positions 569 to 1023 of the family's 1831-position model. Lineage: Eukaryota; Fungi; Glomeromycota; Glomeromycetes; Glomerales; Glomeraceae. The record is from RNAcentral.
AGCAGCCGCGGUAAUUCCAGCUCCAAUAGCGUAUAUUAAAGUUGUUGCAGUUAAAAAGCUCGUAGUUGAAUUUCGGGAUCAAUAUGUCGGUCGUGCCUCGGUACGUACUGGCAUCAUUGGUUUCUCCCUUCUGAUGAACCAUGAUGCCAUUAAUUUGGUGUCGUGGGGAAUCAGGACUGUUACUUUGAAAAAUUAGAGUGUUUAAAGCAGGCUCACGCUUGAAUACAUUAGCAUGGAAUAAUGAAAUAGGACGUUUGAUUCUAUUUUGUUGGCUUCUAGGAUCGACGUAAUGAUUAAUAGGGAUAGUUGGGGGCAUUAGUAUUCAAUUGUCAGAGGUGAAAUUCUUGGAUUUAUUGAAGACUAACUACUGCGAAAGCAUUUGCCAAGGAUGUUUUCAUUAAUCAAGAACGAAAGUUAGGGGAUCGAAGACGAUCAGAUACCGUCGUAG